AGUGAUCUGCCAGCCUUGGUUUCCCAAAGUUCUGGGAUUACAGGCGUGAGCCACCACACCCUGCCUUAACUGUUUCAAUUAAUAACCUGAUCAUUACCAAAGUAUAGAAAACCAAUCCAAGUGAUGACUGCAAAAGAUAUAUUGUGCUUUCAGGCAUCAUGUACUCAAGAUUUGGGAUUUACCUAUGUGAGUACAAGUAAUUGCUUGUAUAAUGUCACCAGAUUAAAUUCAACAGGGUCUCUUUUUACCAAAUGUUUUAUAUACCCUUACAACAUGCUAUAAGAGGGGCACAAAAAGGUCAAUUUCUCAAUGGAUUUUGUUCAGCAGCUAUGCAGAUUUAUUAAUGAACAAAUCUAACUGAACCCUGCUCAAAUGCAACUAGGUAGCCCUGUUUUUCAACUCCCAAGGACCUAUUUUGGGUCUGUGGAUAAUCUGCAUAUUUCAUUCUGCCUCUUCGUUGGCUCAGAUCUUGCUAUUUGGUCUGGCUCACUCCUGCCUUUCAAAUAGUUUCACCUAAAAAUUCUCCUAACAGCUCUUAUGAUUGGAGGCCAAAAUAGUCAAUAACUGAAAUUAGCACUAGCUUUGAAAUAGACAAAGAUAAGCUAGUUUCCACUGAGGAAAGAUUCCAGUGGGGUUCCUGGGGGCUCACUCUUGGUGGUAGUGGGAUACUAGUUGUAUGG
RNAcentral lists this microRNA precursor (680 nucleotides) under Homo sapiens (human). RNAcentral's name for it is "long non-coding RNA NONHSAT240711". Lineage: Eukaryota; Metazoa; Chordata; Mammalia; Primates; Hominidae. The record is from RNAcentral.